CCUACGGGAGGCAGCAGUGGGGAAUAUUGGACAAUGGGCGAAAGCCUGAUCCAGCCAUGCCGCGUGUGUGAAGAAGGCCUUCGGGUUGUAAAGCACUUUCAGUGGGGAAGAAAGCCUUGGGGCUAAUACCCUCGAGGAAGGACAUCACCCACAGAAGAAGCACCGGCUAACUCCGUGCCAGCAGCCGCGGUAAUACGGAGGGUGCGAGCGUUAAUCGGAAUUACUGGGCGUAAAGCGCGCGUAGGCGGUCUGAUAAGCCGGUUGUGAAAGCCCCGGGCUCAACCUGGGAACGGCAUCCGGAACUGUCAGGCUAGAGUGCAGGAGAGGAAGGUAGAAUUCCCGGUGUAGCGGUGAAAUGCGUAGAGAUCGGGAGGAGUACCAGUGGCGAAGGCGGCCUUCUGGACUGACACUGACGCUGAGGUGCGAAAGCGUGGGUAGCAAACAGGAUUAGAUACCCUUGUAGUC
Molecule: ribosomal RNA, 465 nt
Filed under: Vreelandella stevensii
Lineage: Bacteria; Pseudomonadati; Pseudomonadota; Gammaproteobacteria; Oceanospirillales; Halomonadaceae
Description: partial 16S ribosomal RNA
Rfam family: Bacterial small subunit ribosomal RNA
Source: RNAcentral